CCCUGACUCAGUAAGGUCAGAGGUAACACACCUAGUGUGAAUAUGAAGGAGACGCACAUUAACAACUGGGAUUUGUAUGUUGUCAUCUUGCCAGGGUUGGCCCAGAAUCUUCGAAGUUUGAAGAUUAAUCUGAACAGUUCUGCAGUUAACUGGAGUGUCAGCCUGGAUUUUGUGUGGAAUCGAUGGAGUGAAACUUGAACACAUCAUCUUCUGACUGGGAGUGGUCAGCAAUGUAUUUGAAACCUGUCAUGUGUCCAACAGCAAUAGAUUCCACUGAUCACUGAAGGUUAACCACUUCUCGGUGUUAGACUGCUGCAGGUCUAGCUGAGGACUGCAGGAGCUGCUGCUGACUGCAACAGCAAGAAACUUCUACAAGAUAUUAACAGCAACUUGCAUCUAUCAUAAAGCCUUGUAUGAAUUUAUUCAAACUAAA
Long non-coding RNA from Pristis pectinata (smalltooth sawfish), 433 nucleotides. RefSeq lists it as uncharacterized. Lineage: Eukaryota; Metazoa; Chordata; Chondrichthyes; Rhinopristiformes; Pristidae. The transcript is spliced from 3 exons. The record is from RefSeq and is a predicted model, not a curated record.